RNAcentral lists this ribosomal RNA (429 nucleotides) under uncultured bacterium. RNAcentral describes it as "bacterial SSU rRNA". It matches the Rfam family "Bacterial small subunit ribosomal RNA", at positions 355 to 775 of the family's 1533-position model. The record is from RNAcentral.
CGAGGAAUCUUGCGCAAUGGGGGAAACCCUGACGCAGCAACGCCGCGUGAGUGAGGAAGGUCUUCGGGUCGUAAAGCUCUGUCAGGCGGGAAGAAAUGCAUGGAGGUGAACAGCCGCCAUGCUUGACGGUACCGCCAGAGGAAGCACCGGCUAACUCCGUGCCAGCAGCCGCGGUAAUACGGGGGGUGCAAGCGUUGUUCGGAAUCAUUGGGCGUAAAGAGCGUGUAGGCGGCUUGGUACGUCAGAUGUGAAAGCCCUGGGCUCAACCCGGGAAGUGCAUUUGAAACUGCCAGGCUGGAGUAGGGGAGAGGGAAGUGGAAUUCCUGGUGUAGAGGUGAAAUUCGUAGAUAUCAGGAGGAACACCGGUGGCGAAGGCGACUUCCUGGCCCUAUACUGACGCUGAGACGCGAGAGCGUGGGUAGCAAACAG